GACGUAGGGGGGCAAGCGUUUGUCCGGAUUCAUUGGGCGUAAAGAGCGUGUAGGCGGCCAGGUAGGUCGGUUGUGAAAACUGGAGGCUCAACCUUCAGAGGUCGACCGAAACCAUCUGGCUAGAGUCCGGGAGAGGAGAGUGGAAUUCCUGGUGUAGCGGUGAAAUGCGCAGAUAUCAGGAAGAACACCCGUGGCGAAAGCGGCUCUCUGGAACGGUACUGACGCUGAGACGCGAAAGCGUGGGGAGCGAACAGG
RNAcentral lists this ribosomal RNA (255 nucleotides) under uncultured bacterium. RNAcentral describes it as "partial 16S ribosomal RNA". It matches the Rfam family "Bacterial small subunit ribosomal RNA", at positions 524 to 776 of the family's 1533-position model. The record is from RNAcentral.